UACGGGGGGUGCGAGCGUUGUCCGGAAUCACUGGGCGUAAAGGGCGCGUAGGUGGUUUGAUAAGGGUGUGGUGAAAGCCCGGGGCUCAACCCCGGGUCUGCCGUGCCGACUGUCAAACUCGAGGGCUGUAGAGGCAGACGGAAUUCCGGGUGUAGCGGUGGAAUGCGUAGAUAUCUGGAGGAAUACCGGUGGCGAAGGCGGCAUCCUGGACCGACAUUGACGCUGAGGAGCGAAAGCUAGGGGAGCAAACGGG
Molecule: ribosomal RNA, 253 nt
Filed under: uncultured bacterium
Lineage: Bacteria
Description: partial 16S ribosomal RNA
Rfam family: Bacterial small subunit ribosomal RNA
Source: RNAcentral